GAUGAACGCUGGCGGCGUGCCUAAUACAUGCAAGUCGAGCGAACAGACGAGGAGCUUGCUCCUUUGACGUUAGCGGCGGACGGGUGAGUAACACGUAUGUAACCUACCUAUAAGACUGGGAUAACUUCGGGAAACCGGAGCUAAUACCGGAUAAUAUUUCGAACCGUAGGGUUCGAUAGUGAAAGAUGGCUUUUCUAUCACUUAUAGAUGGACCUCGGCCGUAUUAGCUAGUUGGUAAGGUAACGGCUUACCAAGGCAACGAUUCGUAGCCGACGUGAGAGGGUGGUCGGCCACACUGGAGGUGAGACACGGUCCAGACUCCUGCGGGAGGCCGCAGUAGGGAAUGUUCCGCAAUGGGCGAAAACCUUACGGAGCAACGCCGCGCGAGAGAUGGAGGUCUUCGGAUCGUGAAACUCUGUUAUUAGGGAAGAACAAACUUGUAAGUAGAUGUACACGUCUUGACGGUACCUAGUCAGAAAGCCACGGCUAACUACGUG
Molecule: ribosomal RNA, 497 nt
Filed under: uncultured bacterium
Lineage: Bacteria
Description: partial 16S ribosomal RNA
Rfam family: Bacterial small subunit ribosomal RNA
Source: RNAcentral